RNAcentral lists this ribosomal RNA (462 nucleotides) under uncultured bacterium. RNAcentral describes it as "bacterial SSU rRNA". It matches the Rfam family "Bacterial small subunit ribosomal RNA", at positions 29 to 506 of the family's 1533-position model. The record is from RNAcentral.
ACGAACGCUGAUGGCGUGCCUCAUACAUGCAAGUCGAGCGCGUAGCAAUACGAGCGGCGGACGGGUGAGUAACACGUAAACAAUCUGCCCUCAAGUGGGGAAUAACUAUCCCAACGGAUAGCUAAUACCGCAUAAGGAUGGAGGUGGCAUCACCUCUUCUCGAAAGGCUUCGGCCGCUUAAGGAUGAGUUUGCGUCCCAUUAGUUUGUUGGCGGGGUAACGGCCCACCAAGACUACGAUGGGUAUCCGGCCUGAGAGGGUGUACGGACACAUUGGGACUGAGAUACGGCCCAGACUCCUACGGGAGGCAGCAGUAGGGAAUUUUGCGCAAUGGGGGAAACCCUGACGCAGCAACGCCAUGUGUGGGAUGAAGCAUUUCGGUGUGUAAACCACUGUCAGCAGGGAGGAUGGGACGGGCAACCGUUCGGACGGUACCUUCAGAAGCAGCCACGGCUAACUCUGU